AUUGAACGCUGGCGGCAGGCCUAACACAUGCAAGUCGAGCGGAAAAAGGGAGCUUGUUCCUGUAUUCCGCGGCGGACGGGUACGUAAUGCCUAUGAAUCUGCCAGUUCGUGGGGGAUGAGGUCAGCUACUGGGAGCUGAUACCAAAUCCGCAUAGCGGGGGAAAGCGAGGGAUCUUGGGAUUUCAGGCUCUUGGCUGCGGCUAGGUCGGAUUAGCUAGUUGGUGGGGUAAGGGCCUACCCAGGCGACGAUCCGUAGCUGGUCUGAGAGGAUGAUCAGGCACACUGGAACUGAGACACGGUCCAGACUCCUACGGGAGGCAGCAGUGGGGAAUAUUGGACAAUGGGCGAAAGCCUGAUGCAGCCAUGCCGCGUGUGUGAAGAAGGUCUUCGGAUUGUAAAGCACUUUAAGUUGGGAGGAAGGGCAGUAAGUUAAUACCUUGCUGUUUUGACGUUACCAACAGAAGAAGCACCGGCUAACUUCGUG
RNAcentral lists this ribosomal RNA (484 nucleotides) under uncultured bacterium. RNAcentral's name for it is "partial 16S ribosomal RNA". It matches the Rfam family "Bacterial small subunit ribosomal RNA", at positions 30 to 507 of the family's 1533-position model. The record is from RNAcentral.